RNAcentral lists this ribosomal RNA (253 nucleotides) under uncultured bacterium. Its description in RNAcentral is "partial 16S ribosomal RNA". It matches the Rfam family "Bacterial small subunit ribosomal RNA", at positions 524 to 776 of the family's 1533-position model. The record is from RNAcentral.
UACGGAGGGAGCUAGCGUUGUUCGGAAUUACUGGGCGUAAAGCGCACGUAGGCGGUUCCGCAAGUCAGAUGUGAAAUCCCCGGGCUUAACCUGGGAACUGCAUUUGAAACUAUGGAGCUAGAGUGUGUCAGAGGGGGGUAGAAUUCCACGUGUAGCAGUGAAAUGCGUAGAGAUGUGGAGGAAUACCGAUGGCGAAGGCAGCCCCCUGGGAUGACACUGACGCUCAUGCACGAAAGCGUGGGGAGCAAACAGG